GAUGAACGCUGGCGGCGUGCCUAAUACAUGCAAGUCGAGCGAACGGACGAGAAGCUUGCUUCUCUGAUGUUAGCGGCGGACGGGUGAGUAACACGUGGAUAACCUACCUAUAAGACUGGGAUAACUUCGGGAAACCGGAGCUAAUACCGGAUAAUAUUUUGAACCGCAUGGUUCAAAAGUGAAAGACGGUCUUGCUGUCACUUAUAGAUGGAUCCGCGCUGCAUUAGCUAGUUGGUAAGGUAACGGCUUACCAAGGCAACGAUGCAUAGCCGACCUGAGAGGGUGAUCGUCCACACUGGAACUGAGACACGGUCCAGACUCCUAUGGGAGGCAGCAGUAGGGAAUCUUCCGCAAUGGGCGAAAGCCUGACGGAGCAACGCCGCGUGAGUGAUGAAGGUCUUCGGAUCGUAAAACUCUGUUAUUAGGGAAGAACAUAUGUGUAAGUAACUGUGCACAUCUUGACGGUACCUAAUCAGAAAGCCACGGCUAACUACGUG
RNAcentral lists this ribosomal RNA (497 nucleotides) under uncultured bacterium. RNAcentral's name for it is "partial 16S ribosomal RNA". It matches the Rfam family "Bacterial small subunit ribosomal RNA", at positions 28 to 507 of the family's 1533-position model. The record is from RNAcentral.